Drosophila ficusphila is the source of this 1362-nucleotide long non-coding RNA. RefSeq lists it as uncharacterized. The transcript has 2 exons. Lineage: Eukaryota; Metazoa; Arthropoda; Insecta; Diptera; Drosophilidae. The record is from RefSeq and is a predicted model, not a curated record.
CAAAGUGGCCAUGAGUUAGACUUUCCCCCACCCAUUUGGGGAGGACGCAAAGAAUAAAUUAUCAGCAACAGCUGAUUCUGUGUGUGGCCGUUCGAUGAAGCCCUGGAAAAUGUAAGCGACCAAGACUAUAAAUAAGUAAGUCAUACUUGAACCACAGUUAUAAUAACUUGAACGUGAUCACCUAAACAAGAAAUGCCUAUUAUAAAUUAUUUUUUAUUGAUGGGCCGCGCGGAACUGAGGCAAAUUAAAAUGAAAAUUGAAGAGCUUCAGAUUGAACUGCAGGCUGAAAAGGAUCCAACUCGUAUACAAGUAAUUAAGCAGAAAAUCGAGCAAUGGAAGAAAGAGGAGGUGGUAAAACAACGGGAAUUGGAGGAUAUUGUGGAGACUAAAAUACAAUUUGAUCAAGCUUCAGUAUGUUUAAAUAUAAUAGAUAAUUUGUUAUAAAGAACGUGUACUUUGAGCAAUGGACAGAAGCACUUGUAAAAUUUUACUGCAGUACCAUCAAAAAUGUAUUUAAUAACAUUGUUGCUCAAUAAAAUGUAAAGAUUUGUAAUGAUUAAAAUAAAAUUAUUUUAUUAACCUGCAAAUGAAAACUUGGUUUGGGCGGUGUUUGAAAUAUUGGUAUUUAAUUACAAGUGGCAAGGGAGUAGAAUUGGGAAAGGACUGGGGAUUCACCGAACAAAGGCUUAUAAAAAAUCUAGCUAAUUAUUCACCAUUUAAAAAUUAGCAAUUGUUUAGCAAAUAAUGAAAUAUUUAUUUAGUAAUAAACUGAUACUGAUUCCCCAACAUAAGCCAGUGCGCAGAGUGGCCAGGUUAUAAAAAAAAAUAAUGAAGUAGUCUCGUUAGUUUAUUUAUGUCCCGAAGCAUAAAAAAAAAAUCAGUUGCUCGGCGCCAACAGAAGUCCAUUUCACGGUGACAAGAUACAUUUUUGGUCAGCUUUUUAUAUUACCAAAGCUCUAACUCGAACCACAGUUAUAAAAACUUGAACGUGAUCACAUACAUACAAGAGAAAUGGAUUUAUUUUCUUCAAAUUAUAUAUCGACCUCCUUCGUGGAGCAAAGGCAAAAUCUAAUAAAAAUUGAAUUAGAUUUUUUCGUAGAAUGCAUACAUACAUAUUGAGCGGAAAAUCGCGAAAUUGGAGGAAAUGAACGAGAAAUUACGAAGGGAAAUAAAGAAAUAUUCGAGAAUGGAAACUGAAAUCAUAAUAAAUAAUAUGACACAUAACACUUUGAGAUGAUAACUGGACAGAAGUACUUGCCCAUUUUUACUGCAGUACCAUCAAAAAUGUAUUUAAUAACUUUGUAAUUCAACAAAUGUAAAGAUUUGUAAUGACAUAAAAAAGUUAUUUUAUUAACCUGUAAA